CCGUCCUUUAUUUUAUUCAGCCCAAACAAUGGCAGACACACAAGUGGACUCCGGCUCGGACAUCUCUGCCAAGGACCUGAAGGAGAAGAAGCUGGUGGAGGAGAAGGAGAACGGCAAAGAUGCUGCCACCAACGGAAAGGAGAACGAGGAGAACGGGGAGCCCGAGAUAGAUGACGACGACGACGUGGACGAGGAGGAAGAGGAGGAGGAAGAUGAUGAUGGAGCCGAAGAGGAAGAUGAGGAGGAAGACGAAGAGGAGACCGAGGGAGGCACAAAACGGGGACCGGACGACGAGGAAGAUGACGAGGAAGUCACUGCCAAGAAGCCGAAAACCGACGACGAUUGAUGCGUUUUCCCCCCGCACCGUCCUGCUGAACCACUUCCUGAUUCUUCACCUCUGACCGUUUUUCUGAGUCACAGGUGGAGGGGCUGGAGGACUGAUCUAAAGGAAAAAAAUAAUAAAAAAAUCCAACAUGGUCAUUAGCAAGUAGAGUUCAACAAACACCCACCACGGCCACACUCUCGAUCUCCCCUCAAAGCUGCAAAACAAAUUUUCUAGAGGAACCCGCCACGACAUCGACGCAGAAAUCCGGCUUCUCUUCAACAACACGAAAGGAGAAUUUGUUUGUAUUUUUAUUUACAUUUUAUAUUUUUGUACAUAUUGUUAGGAGGGGGUCCGAUUCUCUCUUGGCAGCGAUCUCGUCAGACCAAAUCGGUGCUUCUUUAACAAAAGAUUUUACUUGGUUGACCAUGUUACGAUAUCUCAACAGAUACUAGAAAAACCUGUAAAAAAGUUAAAAAAAAAUGAAAGAACCUCUUAAGCCGUUGAACUCAGAGCAUUCCAGUAAAUUUAAUGUAUGUACUUUAGCUGUACCAUAACUAGUUUGUUUGUAUGGGAGGGUAAGGCCAAAGAAAAGAGCCUCUUUUCUUUUUCUUUUAUUUUGUUUUUGUCAGCGACUUUUUGUUUUAUGACGGCCUGUUUUGAUGUAUGUGCGAAGUUUGUUGUUUGACAAUAAACCGGACUUUUAUUUUGUGAGUUGUACUUUGUUUCCCAGCUCGUUAUGUUUUUGGUUUCUUUUAAUGUGGCGGUCCAGCUUCGGCACAGGGGUCAGAGGUCGGCAGCUGCAGUACUUCAGGUGAAAGUAUCCACGUGCACAUUUACUCACAGCUGCUGAGUCCAGAACACAAGCACUUAACAUGUCGCAGAUUAAAUGAACGGUCCCCAACCUGUGGGCCGGGGCCCCAUGCAGGCUCACAAGAUUUCCUGUUGAGUACACAAGGUAUUUAGGCUAAUAAGUACAUUUACUCAGGUAUUACUGUUACACCCCCCCCCCAGCAGUACAGACCUUUAUUCCAUAUUAAACACAAGAUGCAGCGGUUCUGAAUCUGAAGGUCCAGAAAAACAAAGUCUGAGAUCAAUGAGAGGAGGAGGUGAAGGUUUUAAAGCUCCUCAGUGUCGUAAGCCAGAGAAUCAAACAGUAAUCAAUAAUCAAUUCACAUUAUUUCUAAUAACAUACCAGUGCUGAGGACGAUACCUUUGUACUGCACAGUGAGUACUUUUACUUCAGUUUUACUGUUUAUG
Mastacembelus armatus (zig-zag eel) is the source of this 1582-nucleotide long non-coding RNA. Ensembl annotates it as prothymosin alpha b. NCBI's taxonomy places the organism in Eukaryota, Metazoa, Chordata, Actinopteri, Synbranchiformes, Mastacembelidae. The record is from Ensembl.